This is a non-coding RNA of Myodes glareolus (Bank vole), 1123 nucleotides long. The record is from RefSeq and is a predicted model, not a curated record. NCBI's taxonomy places the organism in Eukaryota, Metazoa, Chordata, Mammalia, Rodentia, Cricetidae.
GAUGACACCCGGGGUGUGGGCAGAGGGAAGCCCGGCAAUUAGUGGGGACGUGAUGUUAUGACCUCAGAGAAACAAGGAUUAGAACUGUAGGCUCUGACACUCCCUCUAUAUGAUCCUGCAAAAGCAACGUAACUUUUAUUAUUAAUUAUUAUUUGUGUGUUCUCGGAUUCAAACCCAAGUCUGUAUGUCUUUUUCUCUCUUGUCAAAUAAUCUUUAUUAUUUUUUUAAAAAAUUAUAAGUAAAAAGACAGGUUCUUGCAUUGUAGCUCAGGCUGGUCUGGAACUCACAGAGACCCCCCCCCCGCCUCUUCCUCCUGAGUGUUGGCACUAAAGGUGUACACCACCAUAUCUAGCUUGCCUCAGUUUCCCGAAUGUUAGCACUAAAGGGGUGAGUCAUCUUGCCCAGUUUCAUGUAUUUUCUUUAAGCUUUAGUUUCUUUGACUUGAAAGAGGAAGUCAUUGUAAACAGUAGAUACGUUCAUACUACUAGCCAUUAUAACACAUGGUCACACGUGGUCACACGUGGUCACAGCACUCCUCAGCUGUGGGGAGGGGGAUCAUGAGUUCAGGGCUGACCCCAGUUACAGAGGAAGUUCAAGGUCAGCCUUCCGCACAGCCUGGACUACAUAAGACCCUAUCUCAAAACAAACAAAUAGGGGUUGGGAAGCUAAUUCAGUGGGCAAAAGCACUUGUUGCCAGACCUGCUGUCCUGAGCUCCAUCCCGAGAACCUGUGAAAUGAGAGGAGAAAAUGGACUAGAGAGUUGUCUUAUGACCUCUGCGUGUACACUGUGGUACAUGCUACCCCCCCCACACAAAUAAACUCAAUUAAUUAAUUAAAGGGAGGCAUUGCAUCAAAGAUUCGAUUAUUUUAUUGAUACAAGGUUUCGCUGUGUAGCUCUGGCUGGCCAGAACUUGCUACGUCAGUUCCAGCCAGCCAUAGGGACAGUGUAGGGACCGAUAGGAGGUGGCUUAGUUCCAGUCAGCCAUGGGGACACUGUAGGGACCGAUAGGAGGUGGCAUUUGCCUUUUUAGGAGAAUGAGACAAGGCCUGCCCUUGCAAACUUUAAUUCUCUACUGCAACCUGGCAGCAAGGGUUGCAGGUCUUGCUCCAGUGAGAGAUUCUU